RNAcentral lists this small RNA (932 nucleotides) under Oryza sativa Japonica Group (Japanese rice). RNAcentral describes it as "sRNA Os01g0525500". Lineage: Eukaryota; Viridiplantae; Streptophyta; Magnoliopsida; Poales; Poaceae. The record is from RNAcentral.
GUUUGGAGCAUGCAUGGAGCCAAGCCAAAAGGGCCAAGCUAGGGGGGCCAUCUAUAUCACUGGAAGAGCAGGAAUUUGGUUAGUUCAAGUCCCAAAUGAUGAUUGGAUCUAAAAAGAAAGACAUCUAUAUAUGUCUCAUGAUUGAGCUGAACUGGCCUCAACUUAGGUUCACAACUUCAGCUACGAAGGUUGCAUGAGAAAAUUCGAUGAUAAAGACAAGGGAAUGCUAUCUUCUGAUGAGAAAGGCGACAGGAUACAUAAUAGUGCAAGUUUAAAGCAAUGAAGGGUGCAACCUCAAUGGUGAUGCAAAAAGAUCGGCAUGGUGUAUUGCAUCAUUAUUCAUUCAGGGGCGGAAUCGGGGUCAAGAGGAUCCCCUUUCACAGAUUCUGCUAUUAUUGGAACCACAUCAGAACUCCAAUUCGACUGUCAUGCUGUAAAAUGCAGAUAGUGUACAGCUCUUCCAUUCUGAAGGUCUCAUAGGCAUUUCAUCAGCCACUCCUACCUCUGAAGAAAUAAACAGGGGAUCUGCGGAGAAUCACCAAGAAAUGCUUUUUGAUGAUUGUCUCCACCAUCUUCAAGCCUUUAUUUUGUGAAAUUGUAAAUGGAUGUGAUGUAAUGCCAAUAUUGGAUGAUGAAUCGAUGUCCUGUUGGUCUACUGUCACCCUGCUGAGUCCCCCCACCUUACUGUGCUGGUGAUAAUGAAAGUGGCAGUGGCAGUUGCCUUUUGACUUGUCAAUGUUGAAUCCAUUUCAUUUCAUCUCAAGCAAACUCAAUCCAAUUGAAGCUUAAUUAGGCUCAUCGAUCUCACUGGUUGCUGCAAUAUCUAAUAGUGUACACUCAGCUUUUUUGACCUUUCAUUAUUUCCAGACCUUCGAACAUACAUUUUGUUUUGAAUCAGUUGUUUUGUUUAUGGAAUUAUGAAUUUAAAUUUU